Long non-coding RNA from Anolis carolinensis (green anole), 2620 nucleotides. RefSeq lists it as uncharacterized. The record is from RefSeq and is a predicted model, not a curated record. Lineage: Eukaryota; Metazoa; Chordata; Lepidosauria; Squamata; Anolidae. The transcript is spliced from 2 exons.
GCCCCCUUUCCGAAGCAGACCUUGGAGGCUUCCCCACCCCAUUCCUCUCACCCCUCCUUUCCCAGCAGAGAGAUAUGAAGACUGACCCAAGGGAGCCAUUGGCCAAAAUUGCUCCCAGGCUGUCUUGGCAAAAAAGCUGAAACUGAAGGUGCAGAACAGAGGGAGGGAGAGCUGCAGACCACAUCUGUCUCUUUGAGGUAGAUGUGCACCAUGAUCCUGUUACAGAGAGGAGGGGAGCCACCAUCACAUGCCUCCACCUGGAACUCAAAAUGAUUGGUAUGCUCAUAAUCAAAGGGGCUCUCUGCAAAAAUUUCACCAUUUGUUGGGUUGAUGGAGACGUAAGUGGUGGGAUCCUCACCAAAUUCCUGCUUUUGGCUGGCCAAAAUAGAAUAAGAAAGACGGGAAUUCUGUUCUUUAUCGGCAUCUGUUGCAGAAACUGUAAGAAGAACCAUGCCUACAGGAUUGUUUUCUUCUAUGACGACUUCAUAAAACGACCUGUCAAAUUGAGGUGGAUUAUCAUUGACAUCAGCCAGAAUAAUGGAGAAAGAUGUGUGUUGGGAGAGCGGUGGAUUUCCUAAAUCAAACGCAUAGAUGGUAACAUUGAAUCGAGGAAUAGUCUCACGAUCUAACUGUUCGCUGGUGAGCAAGGAAUACUGGUGCUCAAAGUCUUUCCGAAGUUUGAAAGGAAGGUUUCUGGGCAGCUCACACUGGACUUUGCCUUGAUCUCCUGAAUCUUUGUCUUUGACGUGUAUCACCGCAACCACAGUGCCAGGAGGUGCAUCUUCGCUCAAGGAGCUGGAGAAAGAGGUGAGAAUGACUUCAGGGGCAUUGUCAUUAAUAUCAGUCACUUCUACCAUAAUACUGCAAUGCUCUUCCAUAGUAGGGGAGCCCAUGUCCCUUGCUACCACUUCAAUCUCAUACACAUUGGCCUCUUCAAAAUCCAGAUUCCCUUGAACACGGAUCUCUCCAGUGGUGCCAUCGAUAGCAAAUAUCCUGCACAAGGCUUCAGAGUUGUGGCUGCUGAGGGAAUACUGGAUCUGUCCAUUAGAGCCUUCGUCCAAGUCUGUUGCAUUCAGUUUUAUCACCAGCGUCCCUGGAGGAGAGUUUUCAACCAAGCGAGUAUAGUAGGUAGCUUUUUCAAAAACUGGGUGAUUAUCAUUGGCAUCCAGGACCUGGACAGCAAUUCGGAUAGCACUAGAUUUGGGGAAUAUGCCACCAUCUUCAGCAGUCAGAACCAAAUGGUGGACAGCAAUGUGCUCCCUGUCCAAGAUUUUCUCCAACACUAAUUCUGGGAAUUUGGUGCCAUCUGUGCGUGCCUUCACGUUGAGGUUGAAGUUUUCAUUGGCGCUGAGAUGGUAGGUCUGCAAAGUGUUUGUUCCUACGUCAGGAUCCUGUGCAUGCGGGAUAGGAAAGCGAGCACCCAGUACAGCCAGUUCAUAGAUCUGCAGAGUUAUUGUGCUACUUGAAAAUUCAGGAGCAUUGUCAUUGAUAUCCAAAAUCUCCACUUCAAUGCGAUAAAACUCCACUGGGUUUUCAAUAGCAAGUUUAAGAUGCAAGAAACACCGCAGAUUCUGCCCACAAAGCUGUUCCCUGUCUAUUCUGUCAUUGACUAUUAUGAUUCCAGUAUUCACAUUCACAGAGAAGUACUGGGAGUCGGAAUCAGAAAGCACCUGCAGAUUGGCAGCUGCAAGCUUUGUUACAUCCAUUCCUAAAUCCUUAGCAACAUUUCCUACAAAGGCUCCUCGAGUGAGUUCCUCUGGGAUAGAGUAACGAAUCUGUGCAAAACAGCCACUCAGAAACAAACAGAAAGCAAAGGCAUGCAGAAGUCCCAAACGCCAGGCAGAGUUUUCUGUUCUGAGCAUCAUUCUGAAAUCCACAGCAAGAAGCUCUAAACUGCAAAACAGGAGCUAUUUAGAGCAGACAGUAUCUCUUUAAACCCCCUGGAGAACACACCACCUAUCUUGAAGAACUAUGAAACAUAUGAGAGAGAAAGGGUCUGUGGUCAAUGUUUACCUCUCUCAUUCAUUGUUUUGGUUUGAGAGAGAUUGACACAGCUGUGGAGGGGAGUGGUACGCGCCGCAGAUCUUCAAUGUUAGCCUUAUGCUCAUUGGCCAAGACUGCCUCCCUAUUCAUCCAAUCAGCAAACUCCUUUCCAGGACAGCAACAGACUCACCAAUCCGAGUCUAGAUGUUGCUACUGUGUGAAAAAGGACCGCGUAACCUGCUGUUUUUAACCUAGAGACACCAGGCUAAACAACAGACAAUGGAAAACAAAGCCUAAAAUCUUGUCUGGUUUUGGCUUCUGUGGCAGAUAUAGGGACCCUGACAAGCACAAGCUGCAAAGAACCGUCUGCUCUAAAAACAUAUUCCGUCUCCCUCUGUCAUAAUAAUUGCUAUUUGCUACUGCAAGUUAUAGAUUUUAUGAAACACCAAACAGAGCCAGACAAAGUAAUCAUGCUUUUAAAUUCCCAAGAUGUUAACUGUUGCCUCACAAUGGCAAAGUUUCUGAAUGAAGUCUGCAAAUUGAAUGUAUGGCAAACAUGAAGUUUUUCUAUUGUAAAAUAUAUUCUGCAUUUUACCCUGUCUUGUUAUAUAUGCCAAUAAACGCUUAUUGGAUUGGA